AGUGAACGCUGGCGGUAGGCCUAACACAUGCAAGUCGAACGGCAGCACAGUAAGAGCUUGCUCUUACGGGUGGCGAGUGGCGGACGGGUGAGGAAUACAUCGGAAUCUACUUUUUCGUGGGGGAUAACGUAGGGAAACUUACGCUAAUACCGCAUACGACCUACGGGUGAAAGCAGGGGAUCUUCGGACCUUGCGCGAUUGAAUGAGCCGAUGUCGGAUUAGCUAGUUGGCGGGGUAAAGGCCCACCAAGGCGACGAUCCGUAGCUGGUCUGAGAGGAUGAUCAGCCACACUGGAACUGAGACACGGUCCUGACUCCUACGGGAGGCAGCAGUGGGGAAUAUUGGACAAUGGGCGCAAGCCUGAUCCGGCCAUACCGCGUGGGUGAAGAAGGCCUUCGGGUUGUAAAGCCCUUUUGUUGGGAAAGAAAAGCAGCAGGUUAAUACCCCGCUGUUCUGACGGUACCCAAAGAAUAAGCACCGGCUAACUUCGUG
This 492-nucleotide ribosomal RNA is filed under the name uncultured bacterium. Its description in RNAcentral is "partial 16S ribosomal RNA". It matches the Rfam family "Bacterial small subunit ribosomal RNA", at positions 29 to 507 of the family's 1533-position model. The record is from RNAcentral.